GUACACUCCUGCGGGAGGCAGCAGUGGGGAAUUUUGGACAAUGGGCGAAAGCCUGAUCCAGCAAUGCCGCGUGUGUGAAGAAGGCCUUCGGGUUGUAAAGCACUUUUGUCCGGAAAGAAAUCCUUGGCUCUAAUACAGUCGGGGGAUGACGGUACCGGAAGAAUAAGCACCGGCUAACUACGUGCCAGCAGCCGCGGUAAUACGUAGGGUGCGAGCGUUAAUCGGAAUUACUGGGCGUAAAGCGUGCGCAGGCGGUUUGCUAAGACCGAUGUGAAAUCCCCGGGCUCAACCUGGGAACUGCAUUGGUGACUGGCAGGCUAGAGUAUGGCAGAGGGGGGUAGAAUUCCACGUGUAGCAGUGAAAUGCGUAGAGAUGUGGAGGAAUACCGAUGGCGAAGGCAGCCCCCUGGGCCAAUACUGACGCUCAUGCACGAAAGCGUGGGGAGCAAACAGGAUUAGAAACCCCUGUAGUCCC
RNAcentral lists this ribosomal RNA (474 nucleotides) under uncultured organism. Its description in RNAcentral is "partial 16S ribosomal RNA". It matches the Rfam family "Bacterial small subunit ribosomal RNA", at positions 331 to 797 of the family's 1533-position model. The record is from RNAcentral.